This 497-nucleotide ribosomal RNA is filed under the name uncultured bacterium. RNAcentral's name for it is "partial 16S ribosomal RNA". It matches the Rfam family "Bacterial small subunit ribosomal RNA", at positions 28 to 507 of the family's 1533-position model. The record is from RNAcentral.
GAUGAACGCUGGCGGCGUGCCUAAUACAUGCAAGUCGAGCGAACGGACGAGAAGCUUGCUUCUCUGAUGUUAGCGGCGGACGGGUGAGUAACACGUGGAUAACCUACCUAUAAGACUGGGAUAACUUCGGGAAACCGGAGCUAAUACCGGAUAAUAUUUUGAACCGCAUGGUUCAAUAGUGAAAGACGGUCUUGCUGUCACUUAUAGAUGGAUCCGCGCUGCAUUAGCUAGUUGGUAAGGUAACGGCUUACCAAGGCAACGAUGCAUAGCCGACCUGAGAGGGUGAUCGGCCACACUGGAACUGAGACACGGUCCAGACUCCUACGGGAGGCAGCAGUAGGGAAUCUUCCGCAAUGGGCGAAAGCCUGACGGAGCAACGCCGCGUGAGUGAUGAAGGUCUUCGGAUCGUAAAACUCUGUUAUUAGGGAAGAACAUAUGUGUAAGUAACUGUGCACAUCUUGACGGUACCUAAUCAGAAAGCCACGGCUAGCUACGUG